AUUGAACGCUGGCGGCAUGCCUUACACAUGCAAGUCGAACGGCAGCACGGGAGCAAUCCUGGUGGCGAGUGGCGAACGGGUGAGUAAUAUAUCGGAACGUGCCCGGUCGUGGGGAUAACGUAGCGAAAGCUACGCUAAUACCGCAUACGAUCUACGGAUGAAAGCGGGGGAUCGCAAGACCUCGCGCGAUUGGAGCGGCCGAUAUCAGAUUAGGUAGUUGGUGAGGUAAAGGCUCACCAAGCCGACGAUCUGUAGCUGGUCUGAGAGGACGACCAGCCACACUGGGACUGAGACACGGCCCAGACUCCUACGGGAGGCAGCAGUGGGGAAUUUUGGACAAUGGGCGGCAAGCCUGAUCCAGCAAAUGCCGCGUGCAGGAUGAAGGCC
Molecule: ribosomal RNA, 387 nt
Filed under: uncultured bacterium
Lineage: Bacteria
Description: bacterial SSU rRNA
Rfam family: Bacterial small subunit ribosomal RNA
Source: RNAcentral